This 305-nucleotide ribosomal RNA is filed under the name uncultured bacterium. Its description in RNAcentral is "partial 16S ribosomal RNA". It matches the Rfam family "Bacterial small subunit ribosomal RNA", at positions 508 to 809 of the family's 1533-position model. The record is from RNAcentral.
ACAGCAGCCGCCGCGGUAAUACGUAGGUGGCAAGCGUUAUCCGGAAUUAUUGGGCGUAAAGCGCGCGUAGGCGGUUUUUUAAGUCUGAUGUGAAAGCCCACGGCUCAACCGUGGAGGGUCAUUGGAAACUGGAAAACUUGAGUGCAGAAGAGGAAAGUGGAAUUCCAUGUGUAGCGGUGAAAUGCGCAGAGAUAUGGAGGAACACCAGUGGCGAAGGCGACUUUCUGGUCUGUAACUGACGCUGAUGUGCGAAAGCGUGGGGAUCAAACAGGAUUAGAUACCCGGGUAGUCCCUGUCUCUUAUAA